RNAcentral lists this ribosomal RNA (497 nucleotides) under uncultured bacterium. RNAcentral's name for it is "partial 16S ribosomal RNA". It matches the Rfam family "Bacterial small subunit ribosomal RNA", at positions 28 to 507 of the family's 1533-position model. The record is from RNAcentral.
GAUGAACGCUGGCGGCGUGCCUAAUACAUGCGAGUCGAGCGAACAGACGAGGAGCUUGCUCCUCUGACGUUAGCGGCGGACGGGUGAGUAACACGUGGAUAACCUACCUAUAAGACUGGGAUAACUUCGGGAAACCGGAGCUAAUACCGGAUAAUAUAUUGAACCGCAUGGUUCAAUAGUGAAAGACGGUUUUGCUGUCACUUAUAGAUGGAUCCGCGCCGCAUUAGCUAGUUGGUAAGGUAACGGCUUACCAAGGCAACGAUGCGUAGCCGACCUGAGAGGGUGAUCGGCCACACUGGAACUGAGACACGGUCCAGACUCCUACGGGAGGCAGCAGUAAGGAAUCUUCCGCAAUGGGCGAAAGCCUGACGGAGCAACGCCGCGUGAGUGAUGAAGGUCUUCGGAUCGUAAAACUCUGUUAUUAGGGAAGAACAAAUGUGUAAGUAACUAUGCACGUCUUGACGGUACCUAAUCAGAAAGCCACGGCUAACUACGUG